This 248-nucleotide ribosomal RNA is filed under the name Pacispora scintillans. The record is from RNAcentral. Lineage: Eukaryota; Fungi; Glomeromycota; Glomeromycetes; Diversisporales; Pacisporaceae.
CAGUCGCGUUUGCUGGGACUCAACCUUGCUUUUGCCUGGUGUACUUCUCAGUAAAUGGGCCAGCAUCAAUUUCGGGCGCCGGAAAAGGAUUUGAGGAAUGUGACAGCUUGCUGUGUUAUAGCCCCUUGCUGUAUACACUGGUUGGGGUUGAGGUUUCAGUGCACGCUUCGGUUAUGCUUUGAUGCUGGCGUAAUGGCUUUAGGCGACCCGUCUUGAAACACGGACCAAGGACGUCUAACAUAUAUGCG